GAUGAGCGCUAGCGAUAGGCUUAACACAUGCAAGUCGAGGGGUAACAUUGGAGUAGCUUGCUACCUCUGAUGACGACCGGCGGAUGGGUGAGUAACGCGUAUGCAACUUGCCUCUUAGUGGGGAAUAACCCGGAGAAAUCCGGACUAAUACCGCAUACACUUAGUUAUCCGCAUGGAUGAUUAAGGAAAGAUUUAUUGCUAAGAGAUAGGCAUGCGUUCCAUUAGUUAGUUGGUGAGGUAACGGCUCACCAAGGCAUCGAUGGAUAGGGGAGCUGAGGGGAAGGUCCCCCACAUUGGAACUGAGACACGGUCCAA
This 315-nucleotide ribosomal RNA is filed under the name uncultured bacterium. RNAcentral describes it as "bacterial SSU rRNA". It matches the Rfam family "Bacterial small subunit ribosomal RNA", at positions 28 to 334 of the family's 1533-position model. The record is from RNAcentral.